CGAAGGAUUCGAGCGUUAUCCGGAUUUAUUGGGUUUAAAGGGUGCGUAGGUGGACUAAUAAGUCAGUGGUGAAAGCCCGCAGCUUAACUGCGGAACUGCCAUUGAUACUGUUAGUCUUGAGUACAGUUGAGGUGGGCGGAAUGUGUCAUGUAGCGGUGAAAUGCUUAGAUAUGACACAGAACACCAAUUGCGAAGGCAGCUCACUAAGCUGUAACUGACACUGAGGCACGAAAGCGUGGGGAGCAAACAGGAUUAGAUACCCUGGUAGUCCACGCCCUAAACGAUGAUUACUCGAUGUUGGCGAUACACUGUCAGCGUCUAAGCGAAAGCAUUAAGUAAUCCACCUGGGGAGUACGACCGCAAGGUUG
RNAcentral lists this ribosomal RNA (368 nucleotides) under uncultured organism. RNAcentral's name for it is "bacterial SSU rRNA". It matches the Rfam family "Bacterial small subunit ribosomal RNA", at positions 526 to 896 of the family's 1533-position model. The record is from RNAcentral.